GCCCGGAUGGUGGAAUAGGUAGACACAAGGGACUUAAAAUCCCUCGGCCGCAAGGCUGUGCGAGUUCGAUUCUCGCUCCGGGCACCA
This 87-nucleotide transfer RNA is filed under the name bacterium. RNAcentral's name for it is "tRNA-Leu". It matches the Rfam family "tRNA". Rfam says of the family: Transfer RNA (tRNA) molecules are approximately 80 nucleotides in length. Their secondary structure includes four short double-helical elements and three loops (D, anti-codon, and T loops). The record is from RNAcentral.